This 24-nucleotide ribosomal RNA is filed under the name Anablepsoides hartii. Its description in RNAcentral is "partial 16S ribosomal RNA". Lineage: Eukaryota; Metazoa; Chordata; Actinopteri; Cyprinodontiformes; Rivulidae. The record is from RNAcentral.
CACCUAACAGCUAGCCUAAAUAAA